Molecule: long non-coding RNA, 558 nt
Organism: Branchiostoma floridae (Florida lancelet)
Lineage: Eukaryota; Metazoa; Chordata; Leptocardii; Amphioxiformes; Branchiostomatidae
Exons: 3
Source: RefSeq, a predicted model, not a curated record
UAGCUUCUCGUGAGAUCUCGCGAUUUUCACAAGGUCAUCGCGAGACUUGGAGAGUCACCGCCAUUUUGGAUUUGGAGAACCGCACGAAGUUGGACAUCGGUGACGAGAAAACUGCCUCAAAAUGCUGCCAGUGUUGAGAACCCUCCCCAGACUAGUCGGGACUAACGUCCGCCAGUCAGUGCGACGCAUGGCGACCGAGUCAGGGACCCAGAAUGGAAACGGAAACAUCCUACUUGUGGUUGGGGUCGGCUCCUUGGUUGCAAGUGCAUCAUACAUCAUUUUCAGUGAUGAGUUCUGGUUCAACGUGCCCCAGUACCCAGAUCCAGAGAAGGUCCGUCCUGACAAACGAGACUGAGAAGACUGGACAUCUCUAGUCCAACUGAGUUGCUGUGGUCCUGGCUGUUGUUUCUGUAUACUCAAAACAUGUCCUGUGUGCUUCACCUUAGCUUAUACAGACAUAAUUGUACAAAUUGGAGUUAAAGGGAGGAAGUAAGAGUCCAUUGUCACCUCUAUCGACUCUUGUCAAUGAGGAGAAAUAAAACUUAUCUAUAGCACCCA